Molecule: ribosomal RNA, 235 nt
Filed under: Salmonella enterica
Lineage: Bacteria; Pseudomonadati; Pseudomonadota; Gammaproteobacteria; Enterobacterales; Enterobacteriaceae
Also listed under: 5 other names
Description: partial 16S ribosomal RNA
Rfam family: Bacterial small subunit ribosomal RNA
Source: RNAcentral
AAAUUGAAGAGUUUGAUCAUGGCUCAGAUUGAACGCUGGCGGCAGGCCUAACACAUGCAAGUCGAACGGUAACAGGAAGCAGCUUGCUGCUUUGCUGACGAGUGGCGGACGGGUGAGUAAUGUCUGGGAAACUGCCUGAUGGAGGGGGAUAACUACUGGAAACGGUGGCUAAUACCGCAUAACGUCGCAAGACCAAAGAGGGGGACCUUCGGGCCUCUUGCCAUCAGAUGUGCCC